Molecule: ribosomal RNA, 527 nt
Filed under: uncultured bacterium
Lineage: Bacteria
Description: bacterial SSU rRNA
Rfam family: Bacterial small subunit ribosomal RNA
Source: RNAcentral
CGACGAACGCUGGCGGCGUGCCUAAUACAUGCAAGUCGAACGAAACUUUCUUACACCGAAUGCUUGCAUUCACCGUAAGAAGUUGAGUGGCGGACGGGUGAGUAACACGUGGGUAACCUGCCUAAAAGAAGGGGAUAACACUUGGAAACAGGUGCUAAUACCGUAUAUCUCUAAGGAUCGCAUGAUCCUUAGAUGAAAGAUGGUUCUGCUAUCGCUUUUAGAUGGACCCGCGGCGUAUUAACUAGUUGGUGGGGUAACGGCCUACCAAGGUGAUGAUACGUAGCCGAACUGAGAGGUUGAUCGGCCACAUUGGGACUGAGACACGGCCCAAACUCCUACGGGAGGCAGCAGUAGGGAAUCUUCCACAAUGGACGCAAGUCUGAUGGAGCAACGCCGCGUGAGUGAAGAAGGUCUUCGGAUCGUAAAACUCUGUUGUUAGAGAAGAACACGAGUGAGAGUAACUGUUCAUUCGAUGACGGUAUCUAACCAGCAAGUCACGGCUAACUACGUGCCAGCAGCCGCGGUAA